This 1365-nucleotide ribosomal RNA is filed under the name Mycobacterium intracellulare. RNAcentral describes it as "bacterial SSU rRNA". It matches the Rfam family "Bacterial small subunit ribosomal RNA", at positions 74 to 1440 of the family's 1533-position model. Lineage: Bacteria; Bacillati; Actinomycetota; Actinomycetes; Mycobacteriales; Mycobacteriaceae. The record is from RNAcentral.
GCCCCUUCGGGGGUACUCGAGUGGCGAACGGGUGAGUAACACGUGGGCAAUCUGCCCUGCACUUCGGGAUAAGCCUGGGAAACUGGGUCUAAUACCGGAUAGGACCUUUAGGCGCAUGUCUUUAGGUGGAAAGCUUUUGCGGUGUGGGAUGGGCCCGCGGCCUAUCAGCUUGUUGGUGGGGUGAUGGCCUACCAAGGCGACGACGGGUAGCCGGCCUGAGAGGGUGUCCGGCCACACUGGGACUGAGAUACGGCCCAGACUCCUACGGGAGGCAGCAGUGGGGAAUAUUGCACAAUGGGCGCAAGCCUGAUGCAGCGACGCCGCGUGGGGGAUGACGGCCUUCGGGUUGUAAACCUCUUUCACCAUCGACGAAGGUCCGGGUUUUCUCGGAUUGACGGUAGGUGGAGAAGAAGCACCGGCCAACUACGUGCCAGCAGCCGCGGUAAUACGUAGGGUGCGAGCGUUGUCCGGAAUUACUGGGCGUAAAGAGCUCGUAGGUGGUUUGUCGCGUUGUUCGUGAAAUCUCACGGCUUAACUGUGAGCGUGCGGGCGAUACGGGCAGACUAGAGUACUGCAGGGGAGACUGGAAUUCCUGGUGUAGCGGUGGAAUGCGCAGAUAUCAGGAGGAACACCGGUGGCGAAGGCGGGUCUCUGGGCAGUAACUGACGCUGAGGAGCGAAAGCGUGGGGAGCGAACAGGAUUAGAUACCCUGGUAGUCCACGCCGUAAACGGUGGGUACUAGGUGUGGGUUUCCUUCCUUGGGAUCCGUGCCGUAGCUAACGCAUUAAGUACCCCGCCUGGGGAGUACGGCCGCAAGGCUAAAACUCAAAGGAAUUGACGGGGGCCCGCACAAGCGGCGGAGCAUGUGGAUUAAUUCGAUGCAACGCGAAGAACCUUACCUGGGUUUGACAUGCACAGGACGCGUCUAGAGAUAGGCGUUCCCUUGUGGCCUGUGUGCAGGUGGUGCAUGGCUGUCGUCAGCUCGUGUCGUGAGAUGUUGGGUUAAGUCCCGCAACGAGCGCAACCCUUGUCUCAUGUUGCCAGCGGGUAAUGCCGGGGACUCGUGAGAGACUGCCGGGGUCAACUCGGAGGAAGGUGGGGAUGACGUCAAGUCAUCAUGCCCCUUAUGUCCAGGGCUUCACACAUGCUACAAUGGCCGGUACAAAGGGCUGCGAUGCCGCAAGGUUAAGCGAAUCCUUUUAAAGCCGGUCUCAGUUCGGAUUGGGGUCUGCAACUCGACCCCAUGAAGUCGGAGUCGCUAGUAAUCGCAGAUCAGCAACGCUGCGGUGAAUACGUUCCCGGGCCUUGUACACACCGCCCGUCACGUCAUGAAAGUCGGUAACACCCGAAGCCAGUGGCCUAACC